Molecule: long non-coding RNA, 1881 nt
Filed under: Zea mays
Lineage: Eukaryota; Viridiplantae; Streptophyta; Magnoliopsida; Poales; Poaceae
Description: long non-coding RNA (ZMAY_LNC000993)
Source: RNAcentral
CGCCAUCCCCUCCCCCUAAUUCCCUCUCUCUUGUGCAGCAGCCCCCAUCCCCUCAACCCUAGCCGCCACCCCCCUCCCAUCUCCUCCUCUCCAAGUGAUGUCCUUCCUCGCUGGAUCUUCUUCGUGUGGGUGCAAGUUCCGAUUGGAGAAUUGGUGGGAGGAAGGAAGGAGGAAAGGAGGAACCCAAGGUGAUUUUGUGAUUAACUCUUGUUUAUUUGUGCUGCAAUUCAAUCGAUUAGAUGUUUACGUAUGCGAAUUGGUAGAGGUGCUGUCCAGAAAUUUUGUGGGUGCGCGAACAGCAGUAGUUCUAGCAGAUUCUGGGAAUUUUUCGUGGGUAAUUAGUGGGAAUCAGUGGGAGAAUCAUGUAGAGCUUUUUCAUACCUUUCCAACGAGUACUUAUGCGCUCGAUUUGGAGUUAUAUUUUAGGAGAUAUCGCUGUUUGAAUCCGGGUAUGUUGCUGUCCAAAAAAACAGAUUUGCAGGUGGGCAAACAGCAGUAGUAUUAGCAGUUUCUGGGGAUUUUUCGUGGGAACUUAGUGAUAAUCAAUAUGAGAAUCAUUUAGAGCUUUGUCAUACCUUUCCAACGUACUUAUGCACUCGAUUCGGAGUUAUAUUUUAGGAGAUAUUGCUGUUUGAAUCCGGGUAUGUUGCUGUCCAAAAAAAACAGAUUUAUGCAGGUGGGCGAACAGCAGUAGUAUUAGCAGUUUCUGGGAAUUUUUCGUGGGAAAUUGGUGAUAAUCAAUAUGAGAAUCAUGUAGAGCCUUGUCAUACCUUUCCAACGAGUACUUAUGCGUUCGAUUCGGAGUUAUAAUUUAGGAGAUAUCGCUGUUUGAAUCCGGUUAUGUUGCUGUCCAAAAACAGAUUGCAGGGUGUAUCUUGUAGACGAGUUUGGGCUAAUUAAAUACUGGAAUUUAAUUAUCAUUUGAAUAUAAAACUUGUGGGAAAUUUUAUGUAGAUGCUUCCGUAGUUUUUGAUUGAUAUCACUGCUGUUAUUAUUUUAAAGUUAUGAAAUUAUCAAGCAGCACCGCUGCAGUUUGGUGGUGAUGGGGAGAGUUGUCGCUCGCAACGGGUUGGAAUUGUGCGUAGGUGCGGCGUUGUUUAUUAGCGUUUGUUAUGUUGAUUUGUACACUAAGGUGUGUGUCAAAAACAGGUGGUGGACUUCCGGAUCGUACUUAGUACCAUUCCAAAUUCUCGGUGAAGGCAAGUAAAUACAGUGGUGGUUGCUACCGUUUGGUUUGCAUCCUAUGCCUUGUCAUUGAGUAUGCAUAAGUAUUAAAUGUGUUAAUCAUUGAAUUCUAUGAUGAAGUUUAUUUGUUCGAAAGAAUUAAUUCUCAAUUGUCUAAUAUUGAGGAUGAUCAUGAUUUGGGAAUGAUAUAUGUGGUUGAUUCCCAUCUUGGAUGAAGUUGAAGUAUCUUUUUGAAUCAUGUUGUAUGAAGUGUUGUAGGCAUGUCAUGCACAUCGCAUCAUCCAUAUUGCAUUUUGAAGUUAUGUCGUGAUCUUAUGGUCCGACCGUACCGGUACACUUUUAGCAUCGUACGUUGCCCGAGGAGGGGUACGAUGCGGCUUCAUAUCCUUAGAGGUAUGAAGGCAGAAGUCAUCUUUGCAUUUGCAGACAUUUGCACUCAUGAGGUAUAUAUGAAGUGUGACAUUACUAUGUUACUAUUGUGGUUUCUACCUGCGAGGUGUGGUAACUAGGUGUGUUGUACGUUGUAUUCGUGCUGCACCUUCGUAAUAAGAAGGUUGCGAAAUCAAAUGGUGGUAAAACAAUGUUCUUAUGUGGUUAAACAGUUUGUUAUUAUUUUACUUGCUGAGAUGUGUCAUCUCACUCUUGCAUUACUCAAUGCAGGUACUUGAUAUAUGUUGGGAAUGAGGGGAGUAGCAG